RNAcentral lists this ribosomal RNA (798 nucleotides) under Arenibacter sp. MH166. Its description in RNAcentral is "bacterial SSU rRNA". It matches the Rfam family "Bacterial small subunit ribosomal RNA", at positions 34 to 825 of the family's 1533-position model. Lineage: Bacteria; Pseudomonadati; Bacteroidota; Flavobacteriia; Flavobacteriales; Flavobacteriaceae. The record is from RNAcentral.
CGCUAGCGGCAGGCCUAACACAUGCAAGUCGAGGGGCAGCGGGGAUAAGCUUGCUUAUCCGCCGGCGACCGGCGCACGGGUGCGCAACGCGUAUAGAAUCUGCCUUGUACUGGGGAAUAGCCCAGAGAAAUUUGGAUUAACGCCCCAUAGUAUGUAGGAGUGGCAUCACUUUUACAUUAAAGGUUACGGUACAAGAUGACUAUGCGUCCCAUUAGUUAGUUGGUAAGGUAACGGCUUACCAAGGCAGCGAUGGGUAGGGGCCCUGAGAGGGGGAUCCCCCACACUGGUACUGAGACACGGACCAGACUCCUACGGGAGGCAGCAGUGAGGAAUAUUGGACAAUGGGCGGGAGCCUGAUCCAGCCAUGCCGCGUGCAGGAAGACGGUCCUAUGGAUUGUAAACUGCUUUUAUACGGGAAGAACAAGGGGCACGUGUGCCCUUCUGACGGUACCGUAAGAAUAAGGAUCGGCUAACUCCGUGCCAGCAGCCGCGGUAAUACGGAGGAUCCAAGCGUUAUCCGGAAUCAUUGGGUUUAAAGGGUCCGUAGGCGGGCCAUUAAGUCAGGGGUGAAAGUCUGCAGCUCAACUGUAGAAUUGCCCUUGAUACUGGUGGUCUUGAGUUAUAGUGAAGUACCUAGAAUAUGUAGUGUAGCGGUGAAAUGCAUAGAUAUUACAUAGAAUACCGAUUGCGAAGGCAGGUUACUAACUAUAUACUGACCCUGAUGGACGAAAGCGUGGGGAGCGAACAGGAUUAGAUACCCUGGUAGUCCACGCCGUAAACGAUGGAUACUAGCUGUCC